Molecule: long non-coding RNA, 321 nt
Organism: Macaca mulatta (Rhesus monkey)
Lineage: Eukaryota; Metazoa; Chordata; Mammalia; Primates; Cercopithecidae
Source: RefSeq, a predicted model, not a curated record
UGAUGGUGGAGGCUAAAGCAACUGUACCUUCCAGGCUUAUCCAUCAUGUGGACUUCUAAUUAACCUCAGUUCCCGGGAUGCCUCUAAGAUUUCUACAUUAUCUACUGUUAAGAGCAAGUAAUUACUGCAAAUCUGCCCUUGGGUCAAAACAACCUGGAUGGCAUAUUCCUUCUGAAGCACAUAUACUCUUUCCCUAGCUGCCUGCCCUGCAGACUUCAGUCUCCAGCAUCAGACACAGAGACCCAGCAUUAUGGAGACUGUCUAGCCAGAUCUCACAAUUGUGGAAGAUCUCAACUCCUACAAUAAAUCUCUUAAAAACCA